Ciona savignyi (Pacific transparent sea squirt) is the source of this 72-nucleotide non-coding RNA. The record is from Rfam. NCBI's taxonomy places the organism in Eukaryota, Metazoa, Chordata, Ascidiacea, Phlebobranchia, Cionidae.
GGCCCGUUGGUCUAGGGGCAUUAUUCUCGCUUUGGGUGCAAGAGGUCCCGGGUUCAAAUCCCGGACGGGCCC